UACGUAGGGGGCGAGCGUUGUCCGGAUUCAUUGGGCGUAAAGAGCUCGUAGGCGGCUUGGCAAGCCGGGUGUGAAACCUCCAGGCUCAACCUGGAGACGCCACCCGGGACUGCUAUGGCUAGAGUCCGGUAGGGGAUCACGGAAUUCCUGGUGUAGCGGUGAAAUGCGCAGAUAUCAGGAAGAACACCCGUGGCGAAAGCGGCUCUCUGGAACGGUACUGACGCUGAGACGCGAAAGCGUGGGGAGCGAACAGG
This 254-nucleotide ribosomal RNA is filed under the name uncultured bacterium. Its description in RNAcentral is "partial 16S ribosomal RNA". It matches the Rfam family "Bacterial small subunit ribosomal RNA", at positions 524 to 776 of the family's 1533-position model. The record is from RNAcentral.